UAUCACCAAGGCAGUGGCAGCUUCUA
This 26-nucleotide non-coding RNA is filed under the name Homo sapiens (human). Lineage: Eukaryota; Metazoa; Chordata; Mammalia; Primates; Hominidae. The record is from RNAcentral.